This is a small nucleolar RNA of Capsicum annuum, 146 nucleotides long. RefSeq annotates it as small nucleolar RNA snoR111. The record is from RefSeq and is a predicted model, not a curated record. NCBI's taxonomy places the organism in Eukaryota, Viridiplantae, Streptophyta, Magnoliopsida, Solanales, Solanaceae. The transcript has a single exon.
CUGAUCGAAUGAUGAACAGUUAUUUUGAUGUGUUUCGUCAUUUUUAUGUGAAUUUAUUGGAGGCAAAGUAAUAUUAUUGGAGAGAUAUCGUUUCGAUCGUCAUUUUUUUUUUUACCAUUGACGAUUCGAUUGUUGCUCGUCUACAU